UCCCUACCAUCCAUAUACACACGUAGAUGGCAUUUGUUAUUAUUUUUUUAUUUUAUUAAUGCAAGAAAACACAGCAACAGUGGCAUUUAUUAUUAUUUAUUAUUUAUUUUAUCAAUGCAAGAAAAACAAACACGAGUCUUUCCCUUCGCUCUCUUCUCUCUCAUUUCUUCAUCUCCACAAAUCAUUAACACCACCACCGCCACCCCCAUUCUCCGCGCUUCCAACCCUCUGUCAUCUUCUCACCCUUCUCCAACCCUAACACCACCAGAAUCGCCACCUCUUCUCUUCAAGUUGCAACCACACCGCCGCCUCUUCUUCCUCAUAACCACUGCCGCCUGUUUUCAAGCUGUUCAGAUCCGGAAAUGUCACAUCGCCGGCGAUCUUCUUUUCUCCUGCAUUGUAUCAUUUUUUUUGGUUCAGAUCUGACGUUUUCUAGUGAGAUGGUAAGUAAGUCUGGCGGCCAUAAGGCGGAGGGAGGCAGUGGGUUGCUCGGAGAAGAGACAUAUCUUAUGUUCAUCAAUAUACAAACAGUUGCAACUACAUGAUCCAUUACUUCGUUGUAUAGUCUCAAAUUUCUUUUUGGUUUUUGAAUUUGGUAUUGUUUGUUUUAAUGGUAGCAUUGGAUUAUAAAGAAAGCUAAUAAACCUCAAUAAUGGUCAAUUGUAGUAACUUAAAGCAAUUAACAGAGAGAGAAGGGGUUUGAGGAGAGAAGAGGUCUGAAAUUUAAAAUAAAAUAAAAUGCCACAUAAGGGUG
This 754-nucleotide long non-coding RNA is filed under the name Medicago truncatula (barrel medic). RNAcentral describes it as "long non-coding RNA (MTRU_LNC005952)". Lineage: Eukaryota; Viridiplantae; Streptophyta; Magnoliopsida; Fabales; Fabaceae. The record is from RNAcentral.